UACGUAGGUGGCAAGCGUUGUCCGGAUUUACUGGGCGUAAAGGGCGUGCAGGCGGUCUGUUAAGUGCAGGGUGAAAGCUCCCGGCUCAACUGGGAGAGGUCCUUGCAUACUGGCGGACUUGAGGGGGGUAGAGGAAAGUGGAAUUCCCGGUGUAGUGGUGAUAUGCGUAGAUAUCGGGAGGAACACCUGUGGCGAAGGCGGCUUUCUGGGCCCUACCUGACGCUGAGACGCGAAAGCCAGGGGAGCGAACGGG
RNAcentral lists this ribosomal RNA (253 nucleotides) under uncultured bacterium. RNAcentral describes it as "partial 16S ribosomal RNA". It matches the Rfam family "Bacterial small subunit ribosomal RNA", at positions 524 to 776 of the family's 1533-position model. The record is from RNAcentral.